Molecule: long non-coding RNA, 502 nt
Organism: Pocillopora damicornis (cauliflower coral)
Lineage: Eukaryota; Metazoa; Cnidaria; Anthozoa; Scleractinia; Pocilloporidae
Source: RefSeq, a predicted model, not a curated record
ACCAUGAUGUAGACAGCCACAUGAAGGCAGUAUAUGCAAAGAAGUCCAAAUCUAAGGAUGUUGAUAAUAGAUGUGGUGAUUCACACUGGAGGGCUACAAACAACCAUGGCAAAAAAGCAGCCAAACUUGACGAGACUGGACUUGAGACUGCAGGUUGCAGGCAUGGCUUGGCCCAGUGGGCAAUGAACAUGUUCCAGGGAGUUGUAUAGCUAUGCAAACUUUAUACAUCAGAAAAAAAUGAUACCAGCCAGUGUCAAUUUUGGGAAGAUAUAGUUUGCAAAUAUUGGAAGUGGGCUGGAAAAGCUGGGGGAUUAGGAAACUGUGAUAUGAAACCAGCCUUGUCAGUAAUGCAUGCAAAAGCUCACAGUUGGACAUGUCAGGUAUAAAUUAUAAUGUUUAUACAUGUGUAGUUUCUUAAAGUUUGUAAAUGAAAGCUAAUCUGAAUUAUAAGUUACACAAAUUUGAACAAGUUACACAAUAAGAUCUACUACUAUUAUUUAUG